GAAGGCAAGACAGUGGCUAUAUUUCAUUAGGGGUUUGAGGAGAUUCGGUCUGUCACCAAAGACACAAGUUUCUACAGAUGUACUGUGGAGAACAUAUUAACUGACUGCACCACCGUCUGUUUUGGUUGGCGGGGGGGGGGGGGUUACUGCACAAAAUCGAAAUAAGCUACAGAGAGUUGUAAACUCAGUCAGCUCCAUCACAGGCACCAGCCUCUGUAGGAGCCAUGCCUCAAAAAAGCAGCGUCCAACAUUAAAGACUUCUGUCACCCAGGUCAUGUCUUGUUCUCAUUGUUACCAUCAGGAAGGAGGUACGAAAGCCUGAAGACACGCACUCAAUGAUUCAGGAACAGCUUCUUCCUCUCUGCAAUCUGUUACUGAAUGGACAAUGAACACUAUAUCACUACUUUUAAUUUCUAUUUUUGCACUACCUACUUAACUAUAACGUCUAUAUACAUAUAUAUUUACUGUAGUUCACAUUUUUUCCCUCUAUUACUAUGUAUUGCAUUGUGCUGCUGCCACGAAGACAACAAAUUUCAGGACAUGUGCUGGUGAUAUUAAACCUGAUUCCGAUUCUGAUUCUUUGUCACUUCCAUCCAUCUCCUCGCAGCCUCUGUUGCUGUUGUCCCUCUCUGCUCUGCCAUCCCCCCAGCCGGAUUCACCUUUAGCAUGCUCCACCCAUCCCACUCCACUUCUUUUGCUGGCUGCUACCCCUCUUUUAAUCCAGAUGAAAGAUCUUGACCCUCCACAGAUACUGCCUGACUUUCUGAGUUCCCCCAGUAGUUUGUUUGGAGUCUGUUGCUCGAUCUCCCAUCAGGGUUGGGAGAGACUUUUUAUCUUUCCAUGGGGUGCUUACAUGUUGCAGAGAAUCCUGCUCUAUAUUUGUAGGGUCGUUCACCUAGCCAGGAGGCCACAUCGCAACCAUUUCUGUCUCCAAAGGACAGCUGGACCCGAGAGUUCACUAAAAGAAUGGCAGUACACUCUCCCUCUCCUCCACACUUCCCUUGCCCCUGCAACAAUAACCCAUUCUCGCUAUGCCACCCGCAAACCACUGCAACACCAGCAAAACCCCCUACAAAACCACCAGUGUUUACCCCUACGUCACCACUACAACACCAAUACCACCACCACUCUUGCAACAGCGUCCCCAUCCACACUUGCAACUCCACCAACCCCUGUUCAUUACUUCUGCCCGUAACCCGGAGAAGACCCAGGUUUGAGGCCAGAUCCAAACACAGAUGGGAAAGUGGUAUCACAGUCUCACUCCCAAAACACCAGAUUGGAGCAGCACACAUUUCCAUGUGAACACCUGGAGUGAAGCCCGCCUUUGCAGGAAUGCAGCAGUUCAGUUCCGCACUGCUGCUUUUAGGUUCCACUUGGACAUCGGCCGUGACGAGGAGUAACUUGUGGGACAGUAAUCAGCACUGAUGAUGAUGGUUUGGAACUAUAUGUAUUAUUUCCAAAUCUGUGGAGGACACAAGGCUGAGACGGAGAGCGAGCUUUGAAAAAGGUGUAGAUGAAUUCCCGGGUGAUUUGGACAUGUUGAUGUAAUGGGCAGAUAUGUGCAGAUGCCAUAAAUCGUGGAUGAAUGUGAUGUAAUUGACUUUGGUGCCAAUAAUAAGACGGCAGUGUAUUAUCGGAAUGGGGAUGGAUUGGGAAAGGAGGAAGUGAUCCGGACAUCCUUAAGCAGGCGCAACACUCAGUGAGAGAGCGAAGUUGUUCACGGUGGUAGUGGAUGGGAUUCCGAGGUUAGGAGCAGGGAUGCCUUGCUGAAAUUGUACACCUUGAAUAUUGUGUGUAGCUUUGGUCUCUGUACCUGAGGAAGGAUGAUUUUACAAGGAAUUGAGUUCACCAACUGAUUGCUGGCAAAGUAAGUUUUAUACAAGAGAGACUGGACUAAUUAAGCUUUUAUUCACUGAUAUUUAGGAGAAUGACAGAGGAUCUCUUAGAAGCGUACAAAAUUCUAACAGGACUGGACAAGUUUGUAGUGAAAGGAGACACAUAUACUGGAAUCUGGAGCAAUAAACAAUCUACAAAGAAUCUUGAUCCAGGACAAAUUGCUCCUGAUGCAUGGGGAGUCUCCAAACUGGGGUGUCAGCAUAAGCAUUUGUCGUCCUCAUCAGUGUCGGUGAAAGGGUCGGGGCCAGUGGUUGCUCCACAUCGCACCACUCGAGUGCGGUAACUCCCGUUGGGCAGUUGCCAGGAGUGCCUGAGAGGAGGAGCAGAAGAGAUGGUGUGGGAUCUGCCAAGGCUUGUGGCCACUGCAGCCUCGAAGGUGCUGCUCAAACCACUGAGUUCCUGCAGAUUGUUGCUCCAGAUUCCAGUGUUUCAUGUCUCUGCUGCCCUUUGAGACCGGUGUCAAAGAUGUGCUAUUUGAGAAAGAUUCUGGGUUCCCUUGGAAACACUACCCCCUGAUACAGAACAUGCGAGUAGCUGUGUUCCCUACAUCCCCUCAUUGGUACAGAGUACAGCAUCACUGGUGAUGAAGUGCUGUUUGAAAGACGCCACAUCAGAUCAAAGAGUGGGACAGAUAACGUGAGUGUGAUGGGAAGAAGUAAGGGCUGGAUAGAAAAUGGGAAGAUGUGGGGGUGGGUGAUAAACAGAAGGCACAGGGUGAUGUAGACAAUCUGGUGAAGUGUAGUGUUACUUACUCGUGGCACAUGACAGUGGUGCCCUUGUCACGUGACUGGGGUUGAAGCUAUACUGGACUUGAGGUGAUGGUCUUGUGAUGGUGGAGUGACGUCAUUUUCCUGCCAGUAGAGAUCAUGUGACAAGUUUUUUUUUCAGGUUAUAAAAGGAAGACCCCACCCCGUGAGGAGGGGCAGUUCGUGGCUGGAUUUGCCAGGUUGACUUCAUGCCACUGCGUGUUUUAAGUGAUGACGCAGUUUAGUUGAAAGAUGAAGUUUUAUUUAAUGCCUAAAGUUUAAGAGGUCAUUUCCAGCAGGUUCUUUAUUCUGCUAGUUCGAGAAAUUUGUGGAGAGUGAAGAUCGAAGUUCGAGAGUUAAAGAUCGAGGAGAAUCGCUUUCUACGGUGAAACGGGUUUCGACCUUUUUGUUUGAUCCUUAUAUGGAAGGAUUUCGUUGACUAUCUUUGUGUUAAUCCCUGGGUAACCAGAAAGGAUUGAAGGUAGUGGAGAAGGAAAGGUCAGUGCCUUUAAGCCGUUCUGUUUCGUGAAUUCUUCGUGGGAAGUUCGAUGUUGGGGAUUGAAGCUAAGCGACGUGAAAGAGAAUUUAAAUCAUCUUAUAAAGUCUCUCCUUUUAAAUGGACUGUGAGAAUAUCGAACUUUUGGCAAUACCACUUUAAAGAAAUGUUUUUGCAAUAUCACUUUAAGAACUGUUUUUGCAAUAUCGCUUUAAGAACUGUUUGGGCUGCCGCACCGCAGCUGUUUCCGGUUGCGUUAGUGUUUGUUUACUUUUGGGGGGGUUUGUUUUCUGUGUUUAAUAAACGUGUUGUUUGUAUUAAGAAACCCUUGCCGAACUCAUAUAUUUAUUGUUGCCUGAAUACGUAACAGUAGAAAAUCUGACACCUGGAAACAUUGCAUGCUAAAGUCAUACAGUCACAGAGUAAUAAGCCCCUUGUCCAAACUCAUCGAUAUUGACCAAGAUCACUACUAAGCUGGUCCCAUUUCCAUGUUUGGUCCCUAACUCUCUAAGCCUUCCCUGUUCAUACCUGUCUGUGAGUGUCUUGAAAUGUAAUUGUAUCUACCUCUACCACUUCUUCUGGCAGUUCGUUCCUAAACAAAUGCCUAGUUCUUUACCAAGCCACCACAUUUACUUGUGAUAAGUAGAUCAGGUCCAGUAUUUCCAUUUUUGUCCCUUUUUGCAUCUUCUACCUUUUGUCUCCCUCCUGGUUCUAUUUACCCACUACCAACACAUUUCAUCCGUCAAAUCCAUUUCCCCAUCUGGUUCCACCUGCUCUUCACCUGUCCCUUCAUUAUCCCAUUAGCACCUCCUUUAUUUAUCAGAAUCGGACGCCACUUUGUGCUUCUGUUUAUCUCCCUCCUGCAGUUGUCUCUGCCUUCACCCUUCCAUCUCUCAAGCUCACUCUACCUGCCUCUACCUAUCACCCAUCUGCCUCUGACUCCCAACUCCAGCCUUCCCUACUUGGAUCUAUCUGCCUGUCAUGCUUCUGUUACACACUCAUGACACAUGACAGUGGUACCCUUGUCACGUGACUGGGGUUGAAGCUAUACUGGACUUGAGGUAAUGGUCUUGUGAUGGUGGAGUGAUGUCAUUUUCCCACCAGUAGAGAUCAUGUGACAGGUUUUUUUUUACAGGUUAUAAAAGGAAGACCCCACCCUGUGAGGAGGGGCAGUUCGUGGCGGGAUUUGCCAAAUUGACUUCAUGCCACUGCGUGAUUUAAUGUGAUGACGCAGUUUAGUUGAAAGAUGAAGUUUUAUCUAAUGCCUAAAGUUUAAAAGGUCAUUGCCAGCAGGUUCUUUACAAUACUGCUAGUUUGAAAUUAGUGGAGAGUGAAGAUUGGAGUUUGGGAGUUAAAGAUCGAGGAGAAUUGAUUUUCGAUGGUGAAACGGGUUCUACCUUAUUUAAUCCUUAUUCGAAAGGAAUUCGUUGACUGUUCUCGUGUUAAUCUCUGUGGGAUAGCAGAAGAUUGAGGACAGUGUGAUAAAGGAAAGGUCAGUGCCUUUAAGCCGUUUCGUUUCGUAAAUUCUUUGUGGGAAAAGUUCGACGUCGGGGAUCGAAGCAAAAUGACGUGAAAGGGAAUUUAAAUCAUCUUAUAAAGUCUCUCCUUUUAAAUGGACUGUAAGCAUAUCGAACUUUUGGCAAUACUACUUUAAAGAACUGUUUUUGCAACAUCGCUUUAAGAACUGAUUAAGCUGCCGCACAGCAGCUGUUUCCGGUUACGUUAGUGUUUGUUUACUUUUGGGGGGUUUGUUUUCAGUGUUUAAUAAAAGUGUUGUUUGUUAUAAAAUCCCUUGCCGAACUCAUAUAUUUAUUGUUGCCUGAAUACGUAACAUAAAUAUGGGGGCUCGUCUGGGAUUGGAUCGUUUGAGUUUAGAUGCUUGCUGACUUUUGCAUCAGUGUUUUGGAAAUGGGGACUACUCGAUUCUUUUGUUUGAUUGGCUUGUGAGUGGUAUUUGACAACGAUGAAUAUUGAUGAGUUUCUGGCUUUGCCAGGCGCGGAGUUGUUAGAGAAGGCGAAAAAGACUGAGAUGUCUGAGAUAGCUAGUAGGUUGCAACUUAAAGGUAUUUUGACGACUACAUCAAAGGCUGUGAUACAGAGAAAAAUCACGUCACACUAUGUGGAUUCGGGUUUUUUUGAUGAUUCGGUUUUAGAGUCAUUUCCAAUAAGUAAUCUUGAGAUGCAGUUGCAAAUCGAACAAAUGCUGUUAGAGAGUUGUAAAUUAGAGGCUGAUCAAAAACAGAGGGAAUUUGAAUAUACAAUGGAGGAAUUAAGGUCUGGGAAACAGUCUACUGGUUCUAAAAAAUCAUUUGUUGCUAGUCAAGAAAUUAUAUUGGUCCCUCCAUUUAGUGAAACAGAAGUGGAAAGAUAUUUUCAACAUUUUGAAACUAUUGCUCGGAUGUCAGAGUGGCCGAAAGAUAAAUGGUCAGUGUUGUUACAGAGUGUAAUUAAAGGUAAAGCACAACAAGUUUACACAGCUUUAACUGCUGUGCAAGCGCUUGAUUAUGAUAUUGUGAAGAUGCAUAACCUAAGCGCAUACAAAUUAGUCCCAGAAGCUUAUAGGGAAAGAUUCAGAAGUUUGAAAAAGUCUGUGGAAAAAACUUAUGUGGAAUUUGCCUAUGAUAAAGCUGUGUGUUUUGAGAGAUGGGUUUCUUCUAAAAAUGUAAAUGGGGACUAUGAUACAUUGAGAGAGCUGAUUUUAAUGGAGGAAUUUAAAAGAAGCAUUCCUGUUGACGUAAGGACUUGAAGUUAAGUGAGAGGGAUACUGAUAAAUUGCAGGACUGUGCUAGAUUAGCUGAUGAGUAUGUUUUAAUCCAUAAGAAUAAAUUUCCUCAGGGCAGAAUUUUUAAGAAGAAAAAUAACAUGGAGACUCAAGUUAAAUCAGAAAUUAAAUCAGAAGUUAAUGAGAAAGGUAAGGAGGAAGGAAAGCCUGUGAAGGAAAGACAGUUUGGUCUUAAUUGUAACUAUUGUAAGAAGCCUGGCCAUGUAAUAGCUAACUGUUUCAGAUUGAAAAAGAAAGAGAAGGAAGCAGUUACAGAUGCUUGUGUGCAACAUACGGAAGCACCUGUAAAAUUACAGGGUUUGAUAAACACAAAUGAGACUUUGUUAGAGUCUGAUCAUGUUAAAAAGGGAUAUGAUCAUUUUAUAACUGAAGGGUUUGUAUCCUUGAAGGAAUGAUCUACUCUGGUGCCAAUAAAAAUCCUUAGGGAUACUGGUGCUUCUCAAUCACUGAUGUUAGACAGUGUGUUGAAGUUUAAUGAAGAGUCUGAUUCUGGUGAGGUAAAUUACAUAAGAGGUGUUGGGAGUGAUUUUAUGCCUGUACAUUUACAUAAAGUAAAUUUAAAAUCAGGGUUAGUUACAGGAUUUGUUAAAGUAGGAUUACAGCAUAGCUUACCUGUGAAGGGUAUUUCUUUAUUGUUAGGUAAUGACUUGGCAGGUGGACAAGUUUUUCCUGAAGUGCAUUUGACAAUGGAGUUAGAGGAACCAGAGUUGAAUUCUAACACAGAUUCUUCCUGUGUUGUGACUAGAGCUAUGGCUAAAAAGAUUGAUGCGCAGAAUGAGGUUGUUACUCAGGACUGUUCAACUCAGGAUUCGAGUUUUGAGGAUGUGUCAAAGACUUUCUUACCUACGUUGUUGAACAAGAUUCUUGGAGUAAGUCUGACUAUAAAGAUUUAUCUCUGUCUCGGAAGGAGAUGAUAGCAGAGUAGAGUAGGGACUCAGACUAUAAAGUUAAGAGAACACACUUUACUAGGUAGUGAAAUUGAGAAGAUGCCAGUAGGAUAUUACUUGGAAAAAGGAGUGUUGAUGAGUAAGUGGAGAUCACCUACAAUUCCUGCAAGUGAGGAUUGGAAUGUUGUUUACCAGGUGGUUGUCCCGAAAGUUUAUCGAAAUGAGAUUUUGACUUUAGCUCACAGUGUGCCUUUAGGUGGACAUCAAGGGGUAAGGAAAACUGUGGACAAGAUUUUAAAACAUUUUUACUGGCCUGGUCUAAGAAAAGAUGUGGCGAUGUUUUGUAAUACGUGCCAUACUUGUCAAAUUGUGGAUAAACCAAAUCAGGUUACACCAGUAGCUCCAUUACAACCUAUUCCAGCAUUUGGUGAACCAUUUUCUAAAGUUAUUGUAGAUUGUGUUGGUCCAUUACCAAAGACAAAAACUGGUUAUCAGUAUUUGUUGACUAUCAUGUGUCUAGGUUUCCAGAGGCAGUACCACUUAGGAAUAUAAAAGCUAAAACUGUGACAAAGGCUCUUAUAAAAUUCUUUACUUAUUUUGGAUUACCUAAGGAGAUACAAACUGAUCAAGGCAUUAAUUUUAUGUCUGGAUUGUUUCAACAGAUAGUUUAUAAAUUGGGAGCUAAGCAAAUCACUUCGUCUGCAUACCAUCCAGAAUCGCAAGGUGCCUUGGAGAGGUUUCAUUUUACCCUCAAGAAUAUGAUUAGGACAUUUUGUGUGGAAAAUGAAAGUGACUGGGAUGAGGGUAUAAACUUACUUUUAUUUGCAGUAAGGGAAUCGGUACAGGAAUCUUUAGGUUUUAGUCCAUUUGAACUUGUGUUUGGGCAUAGAGUUAGAGGACCUUUAGCUUUAUUGAAAGAACAGUGGAUUAGUAAGGAAGUACACACUAAUUUGUUGGACUAUGUUUUGAAAUUUAAGUACAGGUUACAUAAAGCUUGUAGCUUAGCCAAGGAACAUUUAAACUUGGCUCAGGAGAAAAUGAAAACUUGGUAUGAUAAAGAAGCUAGGAUGAGGAUGUUUAAGCCUGGAGAUAAGGUGUUGGUUCUUUUCCCAGUGCAGACAAAUCCUUUACAAGCUAGAUUUCAUGGUCUUUAUGAAAUUGUGUCUAAAAUCAAUGAUGUGGAUUACGUGAUAAAAACUCCAGAUCGUAGAAGGUCAACACAACUUUGCUGUAUAAAUAUGAUAAUGUGGCGACCCAUUUCCAGGCACAUCCGAACCGACUCACAAUUAGAUAGCCUACGGGGGUUUGCGAGCACAGAGCUUUGGAGCCUCUGCGCCAUGGGGGGCAGGUUGAGGGAGGCUUAAAAGUGAGGCUGAAGAUUUUUUAUAAAGUUUUUUCCUUCGACUGCAGUUACCGACUCCGUGUCGUAAUUUUAGCGCUGCGUGUAGCACACCGCUACAAUAAAACCAUAUUUUGAGAAACAAUCUGAUACAGUGACUGUUGUGGUUAGUGAGAAUGAAUUUGAUUUAACUAGGAACAUGAUAGAUGAUUCAUCUGACUUUCAUUCUAAAUCCAACAUUGUUUCUGUUAGGUUACCAAAUUCAACCAUUCUGGAAAAUAUUGAUGAGAAAUUAGCACAUUUACAGCUAGAGCAGAAACAAUAGAUGAAGGAAUUAAUUUUUAAAUAUAGGGAGUUGUUUCCAGAUGUUCUGAGAAGGACUACUAUAGCUUCACAUGAUGUAUAUGUUGGAGAUGCCAAACCUAUUAAACAACAUCCAUAUAGGAUCAACAUAGAAAAAUGUGAACUUGCUGAGAAAGAAAUUGAAUAUAUGUUAGAGGAUAAUAUCAUUAGACAUUCUAACUCGAAUUGGAGUUCGCCAUGUGUUAUGGUGCCAAAACCAGAUGGUAGUAUUAGGUUUUGUAUGGACUAUAGGAAGGUGAAUGCUGUAACGAAAACAGAUGCAUAUCCAAUUCCUAGAGUAGAUGAUUGUGUAGAUAAAGUUGGAAAAGCAAAGUUCCUUACAAAGAUUGAUUUAUUGAAAGGAUAUUGGUGUGUUCCAUUAACGGACAGAGGUAGAGAGAUUUCUGCAUUUGUAACUCCAUCUGGGUUAUAUGAGUAUAAUGUUCUUCCAUUUGGGAUGAAGAAUGCCCCAGGUACUUUCCAGAGGAUGAUUAACUCUGUGAUUCAGGGAUUGAAAGAUACUGAUGCUUAUAUUGAUGAUUUAGUGACAGGAAAUGAUACUUAGGAAGCACACAUUAUUGCGGUGGAGAAAUUGUUUGUAAGGCUUUCAAAAGCUAACUUAACUAUUAAUUUAGCUAAGAGUGAAUUUGGACAUGCCACUGUGAUUGUCUAUCUCGAUGUUGAAUGUACAAUGCAAUUUUUUUUAUGGAGUGGUUUUUUUUUCAAUUGUAACACUCCUACUGUAUUGUGAGUUAUAAUGUUAUAUGAUGGUAUUGUAUAUUAUGUAUGUUAUAAAAUUUAUACAUUUGUUUUUCUUGUAAGCAAUUGUUAAAAAUUUUGGUCUUGUCAGACCAAAAAUGUUUUUUUGGAGGGAGGUGUUACGUACUCGUGACACAUGACAGUGGUACCCUUGUCACGUGACUGGGGUUGAAGCUGUACUGGACUUGAGGUAAUAGUCUUGUGAUGGUGGAGUGAUGUCAUUUUCUCGCCAGUAGAGAUCAUGUGACAAGUUUUUUUUACAGGUUAUAAAAGGAAGACCCCACCCUGUGAGGAGGGGCAGUUCGUGGCUGGAUUUGCCAAGUUGACUUCAUGCCACUGCGUGAUUUAAUGUGAUGACGCAGUUUAGUUGAAAGAUGAAGUUUUAUCUAAUGCCUAAAGUUUAAAAGGUCAUUGCCAGCAGGUUCUUUACAAUACUGCUAGUUUGAGAAUCAGUGAAGAUCGGAGUUCAUGAAUUAAAGAUCGAGGAGAAUUGAUUUUCGAUGAUGAAACGGGUUCUACCUUUUUUAAUCCUUAUUCGAAAGGAAUUCGUUGACUGUUCUCGUGUUAAUCUCUGCGGGAUAGCAGAAGAUUGAGGACAGUGUGAUAAAGGAAAGGUCAGUGCCUUUAAGCCGUUUCGUUUCGUUUCGUAAAUUCUUUGUGGGAAAAGUUCGACGUCGGGGAUCGAAGCAAAACGACGUGAAAGGGAAUUUAAAUCGUCUUAUAAAGUCUCUCCUUUUAAAUGGACUGUGAGCAUUUCGAACUUUUGGCAAUACUACUUUAAAGAACUGUUUUUGCAACAUCGCUUUAAGAACUGAUUAAGCUGCCGCACAGCAGCUGAUUUCCGGUUACAUUAGUGUUUGUUUACUUUU
Molecule: long non-coding RNA, 10116 nt
Organism: Hypanus sabinus (Atlantic stingray)
Lineage: Eukaryota; Metazoa; Chordata; Chondrichthyes; Myliobatiformes; Dasyatidae
Exons: 3
Source: RefSeq, a predicted model, not a curated record